GGAGUUCGAGGAGUCAAUGCGGAGAGAGUAUCCGUAUCUAUUCGAAUCGACGAGUUAAGGUGUGUGUAAUUUCGUGGACGAAAUUAUUUUAAGGGAUGGAGAAUGUAGUAUACCGAAAAUUCAAAAAAUAAAUAUCGAACUUUAGUCAAAUUGACCAAAGUGCGAGGAUGGUACACUUCGGAAAGUCUGAAGGUGUUAAAAUGAUCAAAAGUGAGUUACGGGAGGUUUUCGAGAGCUAAAAUUGUGAAAUCUGCAUUCUGC
This 261-nucleotide long non-coding RNA is filed under the name Ananas comosus (pineapple). RNAcentral's name for it is "long non-coding RNA (ACOM_LNC000630)". The record is from RNAcentral. Lineage: Eukaryota; Viridiplantae; Streptophyta; Magnoliopsida; Poales; Bromeliaceae.